UAGUGAGUUGAUCCUGGCUCAGGAUGAACGCUAGCGGCAGGCCUAAUACAUGCAAGUCGAACGCCGGGUAGCAAUACCUGGAGUGGCGCACGGGUGCGUAACGCGUAACCAACCUACCUACAACUGGGGGAUAGCCCGCCGAAAGGCGGAUUAAUACCGCAUAACUCCACAGAGUGGCAUCACUUCAUGGAUAAAGAUUUAUUGGUUGUAGAUGGGGGUUGCGUGCCAUUAGCUAGUUGGCGGGGUAACGGCCCACCAAGGCGACGAUGCAUAGCCGGCCUGAGAGGGUG
Molecule: ribosomal RNA, 290 nt
Filed under: uncultured Hymenobacter sp.
Lineage: Bacteria; Pseudomonadati; Bacteroidota; Cytophagia; Cytophagales; Hymenobacteraceae
Description: partial 16S ribosomal RNA
Rfam family: Bacterial small subunit ribosomal RNA
Source: RNAcentral